UACAUGCAAAAUCAAACUUCUGCUGUUAUUUUGGUGAAAGUAAUGCAAAAGUAUUGUUCUGCAUUUACUCACAGGUUUCCGGAAGAAGAUGCAGAAGAAGGGGAUAAAAGAACAAUGAAAUCCUCCUUGCAUGGACCAGGUCUGUCAUAAAUCAUAUGUGGUUUUCCUGUGCAACCAGUAAGGGGGACAUCGAGGAGAAGCACGGUUCAACCAAAUGUUCUGCAAGAAAUCCAAGCAGUGGGUCUUGAAGAAAAGCUUCAUACCACACACCACACAGUUUGUAGACGAACUCAUCCAGAAGGUCAUUGACAAGACUCAAUCCAAACAUUG
Misgurnus anguillicaudatus (oriental weatherfish) is the source of this 330-nucleotide non-coding RNA. Lineage: Eukaryota; Metazoa; Chordata; Actinopteri; Cypriniformes; Cobitidae. The record is from RefSeq and is a predicted model, not a curated record.